Molecule: ribosomal RNA, 553 nt
Filed under: uncultured fungus
Lineage: Eukaryota; Fungi
Description: eukaryotic LSU rRNA
Rfam family: 5.8S ribosomal RNA (bases 197-350)
Source: RNAcentral
CUCCGUAGGUGAACCUGCGGAGGGAUCAUUACACAAAUAUGAAGGCGGGCUGGAACCUCUCGGGGUUACAGCCUUGCUGAAUUAUUCACCCUUGUCUUUUGCGUACUUCUUGUUUCCUUGGUGGGUUCGCCCACCACUAGGACAAACAUAAACCCUUUGUAAUUGCAAUCAGCGUCAGUAACAAAUUAAUAAUUACAACUUUCAACAACGGAUCUCUUGGUUCUGGCAUCGAUGAAGAACGCAGCGAAAUGCGAUAAGUAGUGUGAAUUGCAGAAUUCAGUGAAUCAUCGAAUCUUUGAACGCACAUUGCGCCCUUUGGUAUUCCAAAGGGCAUGCCUGUUCGAGCGUCAUUUGUACCCUCAAGCUUUGCUUGGUGUUGGGCGUCUUGUCUCUAGCUUUGCUGGAGACUCGCCUUAAAGUAAUUGGCAGCCGGCCUACUGGUUUCGGAGCGCAGCACAAGUCGCACUCUCUAUCAGCAAAGGUCUAGCAUCCAUUAAGCCUUUUUUUCAACUUUUGACCUCGGAUCAGGUAGGGAUACCCGCUGAACUUAAGC